GCUCUAGCGGAGGCGAAGAGUCGCGAACGCGCGGGACUUCCUUUCCCUGCCCAACGUUUUACUAUUAAAUAGAUGGUUUCGUGUGUUUAUAUAAAAGCUCACUUCAAAAUAAAAGAAAUGAUAGCAAGUGUUUUCUACCCUGUUGAGUCUGUAAGGCGCACAUGUAAUUUUGUCUUUUUCUUCGACUGAAAUGACACAGCGGGGAGAGAGAACCCAAGUACAGCCCUCUGUUCCGGGUGCUUUUAAACCAGUGGCUUCCAACGUUUCUGAAGCAGGAAAUCUCUGUCACCAUCUUCCUAAUGAAACAUAUGCCAUUUAUUAAUUUUUUAGUCAAUGGGGAAAAAGCGCGGUUAAUAAGACAUAUCGUAAAAGGUUAAAAAACAUUUGUAGUGCAAAAUAAAGUUUAGGAAAAAUGGGUUUAGCCCUGUUGCAGAAGAUCUCUCAGGAUUCAGGUCCUAAAGUGACAAUCUAU
Long non-coding RNA from Homo sapiens (human), 472 nucleotides. NCBI's taxonomy places the organism in Eukaryota, Metazoa, Chordata, Mammalia, Primates, Hominidae. The record is from Ensembl.